This is a long non-coding RNA of Homo sapiens (human), 3000 nucleotides long. Ensembl annotates it as COX10 divergent transcript. Its record names the gene COX10-DT. The record is from Ensembl. Lineage: Eukaryota; Metazoa; Chordata; Mammalia; Primates; Hominidae.
UAGUCUUCUACUUUCAGCUUUCCAAUGUCUUCUGAGGCAGAGCAUUGAAUCACUUCUCUUUCUUCUUUUUUAAAUUUUUAUUUGAAUCACUUCUCUAGAGGAAGGCUAGAGGGCUCCUCAUUCACAAGUCUACAAUUCUUAUUCAUUUUGCUGACUAAUAUGAAGCGGACUCUGUUCCCCAUUCUUAUAAGACGGGCCAGUUAAUUCUCUUUCCAGGGCCUCUCACAUUCUUCUGUGUGAGGAUAAGGUAGGACAGAAUUUGUUCCCCUUAUUUUAUUAAGUAUUGGUAGAAGUGGUCAAACAAAUGAACAUUUCCAAAUUAUCUUUUUUCUUUUUUUUUUUUUUUUUUGAGACAGAGUCUUGCUCUGUCGCCAGGCUGGAGUGCAGUGGCACAAUCUCAGCUCACUGCAACCUACGACUCCCUGGUUCAAGUGAUUCUCCUCCCUCAGCCUCCCGAGUAGCUAGAAUAACAGGCACACCCAGCUAAUUUUUGUAUUUUUUGUAGAGACAGGGUUUCACCAUGUUGGCCAGGAUGGUCUUGAUCUCCUGACCUUGUGAUCCGCCUGCCUCGUCCUCCCAAAGUUCUGGCAUUAUAGGUAUUAGCCACCAUGCCCAGCCCCAAACUAUCUUAUCUCCAAGACACUCAAUCCUUUUUUUUUUUCCAUUAGUGACUCGUGAUACAGAAGACUCACUCCUUUUACAAAAAGAUAGGAAAAUGUGCAUUUGUGCUUGCAUGCAUUCUUUAGUCAAAGGAAUCCCCUCUGCCCCCACCCAGCCAACAUUUUUUUUACUCUGGUUUUGAAACUAAUAUUGCAUUUUCUACUUUUUUUUCUUUUUAAUAACAAACAUUUAAAUUUAUAAAUAUAUCCCUUUUAUGUGAGAUUCAAACAAUAUAAAAUUGUUUAACAAGAACCCUGACAGCCCCCAUUUAUCUCUGUCACUAUCUCAAUCAUUUUCCCAGUAGUCAUUGCUGUUAACAGGUUGGAUCAUGGUUCUCAGUCCCUUUGCUGUGCACAGUUACACAUACGGGUAUAUAUUACAUCUUUAAAAAACACAGUUAGGGCCCUAGUAUGCAUAUUGUCCUAUAGUUUGCUUUGUUCAUCUGAAAAUAUGUCUUGGUGAUUUUUCCAUUUCAUAUUCCUUUUCAAAGCUCCAUAAUAUUUUAUAGCAAAGAUAUAGAAUGCUCUAUUUCAAGACUACCCUAUUGAUGGACUUUUCUUGUGGUCUAUUUUGUGCUAUUUUCAACAAUUUUUUAAUAAGUAAUCUUAUACACAAAGAUAUAUAGGGUAUAAAAUUUCUAAUUUAUUUUCAGUUUUGACAGAUACUAUAAAUUGCCUUCAGGAAAGUUUCAUCUGUUUAUAGUUCAAGUAACAGCAUAGAGGAGACUCUGAAUCCUUCAAUGAUCACAUCACUUGAUUUUAUAUAAUUUGAAACAUUUUUGCUAAUCUGACAGAAAUUCUUCUUGUAUUUUUCAGAAAACUUAUAAUAAGGUCUUCAUUCUGCAUUCAUUUCCGUAGCAUGAAACCUGUGACCAGACUCCCUCAGUUCAUACCAUGGCUCUGCCACUUAUUUGCUGCAUGAUCCCAGGCACGUUGCUUUACUUUGCUGUGGUUUAGUUCCUCCCCUCUGAACAUGGUGGCAAUAAUGAUACUUUACUCCUAGGGUGGUUGUGAGGACAAAAUUGGUUAACCUGUGUAAAACACUUAGAGCUACAUCUUGCACAUUGUAAAGAUAUGUACAUACUUGUUUUAUUACUAUUCUCUAUAUUUUUUAUUUUCCUGAAUACAAAAAAUGGUUUUGGUAUGUUGUUUUUCUAUUUGGCCAUUUUGUUGAGUUAUCUUAUUUAUUAUAAUAGUUUUUUUUAAAAUGACUUCUCUUAGAUUUCCUUGGUAGAGAAUUGUAAAAAUUAGACAGUUGAGCAGUUGAGGCCAUCCUUUGCAAUAGUUAAAACUCUUUUUUUUUUUUUUUGUCUUAUUACAUUGGCUAAUAUCUCUCGUGGCAAUGAUAAUGGAAAUCCUUGUCUUGUUCCUAAGUAGUAAGACUUCCUCUGAUAUUUCACCAUUAAGCAAGAUGUUUGCUGUAGGAUUUGGUAACUAUGCUUUAGAAGAUGAAGAUAUUUUAUUGUGAUAAAAUGAUAUUAUUAAAGUAUUUUUUUAAUGAGAAAGCAUGAUGAAUUUUAUUAAAUGUUCUCUUUGGCAUCUUUUAAGUUUAGCAUAUAUUUUUUCUCUUUUAAUCAGCCUAUGUGGUGAAUUUUAUUAGUGGAUUGCCCAAUGAUAAAUAAGGUUUCCUUCGUCAGUCCAGGCAGGACUGUGCGGUUGGAAAAGGGACGGAUGCUGGUCCUGGAAGGGGCGUCGUUAUCUAGAAGCUCCCAACCUAAGUGGGUGACUCAUAGGGAGGGCAAGGAGAGAAGGACACAGCAAGCAACUUACAUGUAAAACAAGACGUGUGGGUUAUUAUGGAAGAAAUUCACAACCAAACUUGGGGUUAGCCCGUAUUGUUUUCCAAGAACUCUAUGUGGACAGUGACAAAAAACAGACCUAAGAACUAGCAGACUGGGCAAAGCUUUUUCACAUAACAACAACAAAAAAAGCAAUUCCUCAGGAAAAAAUGGUCAAUGGGUCAUUGUGUGUAGACAAAACUACAAGUUCUGCUCCAGACUCUGGGGAAACCAUGCUGCCAUCUUCAAGCUGUGGCCAUUCUGUAAUACAGACUACGCUAAAUCACAUGUUGUCAUCAAGGCAGAAUAUUUUGUUCCUUUAUGGGUCAGCCUGGGAUACAAAAUUAGAGAAACUUUGCAAUGAAAAAUCCCUUGUGUCUCAUUGAACUUUUUCCUUAAUUCAAACCUUUCCUUUCACAGUUUUGAUUAGUGCCUUUGCCCAUGUGGACAAUAUUUUAUGAUCAGGUUUUAAGAGUAAUCCAUCCAUGGCUGCUUGGCUGCCUGGAACUUAAAACAACGACAACAACAAUGUCCAGAUAAACCCAAUAAAAUAGGUUUUUAAA